UACGAAGGGGGCUAGCGUUGCUCGGAAUCACUGGGCGUAAAGGGUGCGUAGGCGGGUCUUUAAGUCAGGGGUGAAAUCCUGGAGCUCAACUCCAGAACUGCCUUUGAUACUGAAGAUCUUGAGUUCGGGAGAGGUGAGUGGAACUGCGAGUGUAGAGGUGAAAUUCGUAGAUAUUCGCAAGAACACCAGUGGCGAAGGCGGCUCACUGGCCCGGUACUGACGCUGAGGUGCGAAAGCGUGGGGAGCGAACAGG
This 253-nucleotide ribosomal RNA is filed under the name uncultured bacterium. RNAcentral describes it as "partial 16S ribosomal RNA". It matches the Rfam family "Bacterial small subunit ribosomal RNA", at positions 524 to 776 of the family's 1533-position model. The record is from RNAcentral.